GACGAACGCUGGCGGCGUGCUUAACACAUGCAAGUCGAACGAAGUGGCGAACGGGUGAGUAAUACGUGGGUAACCUGCCCUCCUUUUUGGGAUAAGCCUUGGAAACGGGGUCUAAUACCGAAUAAAGGGGGAUGGGCUCGCGGCCUAUCAGCUUGUUGGUGGGGUGAUGGCCUACCAAGGCGGUGAUGGGUAGCCGUCCUGUGAGGGUGACCGGCAACAUUGGGAUGGAGGUAUGGCCUAGAUUCCUACGGGAGGCAGCAGUGGGGGAUAUUGCACAAGGGGCGAAAGCCUGACGCAGCGACGCCGCGUGGGGGAUGAAGGCUUGCGGGUUGUAAACCUCUUUCGUUAUCGAAAGGGUAGGUGGAGAAGAAGCGCCGGCUAACUACGUGCCAGCAGCGGCGGUAAUAC
RNAcentral lists this ribosomal RNA (408 nucleotides) under uncultured bacterium. RNAcentral describes it as "partial 16S ribosomal RNA". It matches the Rfam family "Bacterial small subunit ribosomal RNA", at positions 28 to 526 of the family's 1533-position model. The record is from RNAcentral.